Molecule: ribosomal RNA, 815 nt
Filed under: uncultured bacterium
Lineage: Bacteria
Description: bacterial SSU rRNA
Rfam family: Bacterial small subunit ribosomal RNA
Source: RNAcentral
GCAAGUCGAACGGCAGCACGGGAGCUUGCUCCUGGUGGCGAGUGGCGAACGGCUGAGUAAUAUANUCGGAACGUACCCUAGAGUGGGGGAUAACGCAGCGAAAGUUGCGCUAAUACCGCAUACGAUCUACGGAUGAAAGUGGGGGAUCGCAAGACCUCAUGCUCAUGGAGCGGCCGAUAUCUGAUUAGCUAGUUGGUGGGGUAAAGGCCUACCAAGGCAUCGAUCAGUAGCUGGUCUGAGAGGACGACCAGCCACACUGGAACUGAGACACGGUCCAGACUCCUAUGGGAGGCAGCAGUGGGGAAUUUUGGACAAUGGGGGCAACCCUGAUCCAGCAAUGCCGCGUGAGUGAAGAAGGCCUUCGGGUUGUAAAGCUCUUUUGUCAGGGAAGAAACGGUGAGGGCUAAUAUCCUUUGCUAAUGACGGUACCUGAAGAAUAAGCACCGGCUAACUACGUGCCAGCAGCCGCGGUAAUACGUAGGGUGCAAGCGUUAAUCGGAAUUACUGGGCGUAAAGCGUGCGCAGGCGGUUAUGUAAGUCAGAUGUGAAAUCCCCGGGCUCAACCUGGGAAUGGCAUUUGAGACUGCAUGGCUAGAGUGUGUCAGAGGGGGGUAGAAUUCCACGUGUAGCAGUGAAAUGCGUAGAGAUGUGGAGGAAUACCGAUGGCGAAGGCAGCCCCCUGGGAUAACACUGACGCUCAUGCACGAAAGCGUGGGGAGCAAACAGGAUUAGAUACCCUGGUAGUCCACGCCCUAAACGAUGUCUACUAGUUGUCGGGACUUAAUUGUCUUGGUAACGCAGCUAACGCGUGAAGU